RNAcentral lists this ribosomal RNA (678 nucleotides) under Escherichia coli. Its description in RNAcentral is "bacterial SSU rRNA". It matches the Rfam family "Bacterial small subunit ribosomal RNA", at positions 865 to 1533 of the family's 1533-position model. Lineage: Bacteria; Pseudomonadati; Pseudomonadota; Gammaproteobacteria; Enterobacterales; Enterobacteriaceae. The record is from RNAcentral.
UCGACCGCCUGGGGAGUACGGCCGCAAGGUUAAAACUCAAAUGAAUUGACGGGGGCCCGCACAAGCGGUGGAGCAUGUGGUUUAAUUCGAUGCAACGCGAAGAACCUUACCUGGUCUUGACAUCCACGGAAGUUUUCAGAGAUGAGAAUGUGCCUUCGGGAACCGUGAGACAGGUGCUGCAUGGCUGUCGUCAGCUCGUGUUGUGAAAUGUUGGGUUAAGUCCCGCAACGAGCGCAACCCUUAUCCUUUGUUGCCAGCGGUCCGGCCGGGAACUCAAAGGAGACUGCCAGUGAUAAACUGGAGGAAGGUGGGGAUGACGUCAAGUCAUCAUGGCCCUUACGACCAGGGCUACACACGUGCUACAAUGGCGCAUACAAAGAGAAGCGAACUCGCGAGAGCAAGCGGACCUCAUAAAGUGCGUCGUAGUCCGGAUUGGAGUCUGCAACUCGACUCCAUGAAGUCGGAAUCGCUAGUAAUCGUGGAUCAGAAUGCCACGGUGAAUACGUUCCCGGGCCUUGUACACACCGCCCGUCACACCAUGGGAGUGGGUUGCAAAAGAAGUAGGUAGCUUAACCUUCGGGAGGGCGCUUACCACUUUGUGAUCCAUGACUGGGGUGAAGUCGUAACAAGGUAACCGUAGGGGAACCUGCGGUUGGAUCACCUCCUUACCUUAAAGAA